This 509-nucleotide long non-coding RNA is filed under the name Mytilus galloprovincialis (Mediterranean mussel). The record is from RNAcentral. Lineage: Eukaryota; Metazoa; Mollusca; Bivalvia; Mytilida; Mytilidae.
AAUUUUAAGAAUUUACAGUAUUUUGCUGAUUCAUUUUGAUUAUCUGCUCUUGAUUUAAAUAUAACCAAUUCAGAAUCAUUUUUGAACUGUUCUAUUUUGAGGUAGCACUAUGGUUUUUUACAGUUUUGAACAAGCUAAGCAAUUACAACUGCUUUUAUCUAAAUAAAAAUUUUAAUUAAUAUUUUAGGGUGAUCAUCUACUAGUAGAAUGCAUGACAUCAUUUUUUUUUUGUUUUAAAUAUCCUUAAGAAUAUAUGAAAAUAAAUAUGGAAGUCAGUUUUUAGUUUAGACAGAAUGUUAAAAGUUUUCUUUGCCUGAAUUUUCCAUGCAGUUCAUUUUAUUAUGAAAAGUAAAAGGCACACAAUAAGAAAAACUCAAUUUGUACAUAUUCUAUUUAUCACAACCACUUUUCAUUACUAAUCCAUAGUCUAAAUAAUGUACAUAUUACAAUGCCCAUUUCAGCCAAAAAAAAUUCAGUUUGAAGUAAAAAUACCUCUCUCUACUUUUAAU